AGUGGCAGACGGGUGAGUAACACGUGGGAACGUACCCUUUGGUUCGGGACAACUCUGGGAAACUGGAGCUAAUACCGGAUACGCCCUUUUGGGGAAAGGUUUACUGCCGAAGGAUCGGCCCGCGUCUGAUUAGCUAGUUGGUGGGGUAACGGCCUACCAAGGCGACGAUCAGUAGCUGGUCUGAGAGGAUGAUCAGCCACACUGGGACUGAGACACGGCCCAGACUCCUACGGGAGGCAGCAGUGGGGAAUAUUGGACAAUGGGCGCAAGCCUGAUCCAGCCAUGCCGCGUGAGUGAUGAAGGCCUUAGGGUUGUAAAGCUCUUUUAUCCGGGACGAUAAUGACGGUACCGGAGGAAUAAGCCCCGGCUAACUUCGUGCCAGCAGCCGCGGUAAUACGAAGGGGGCUAGCGUUGCUCGGAAUCACUGGGCGUAAAGGGCGCGUAGGCGGCGUUUUAAGUCGGGGGUGAAAGCCUGUGGCUCAACCACAGAAUGGCCUUCGAUACUGGGACGCUUGAGUCUGGUAGAGGUUGGUGGAACUGCGAGUGUAGAGGUGAAAUUCGUAGAUAUUCGCAAGAACACCGGUGGC
This 587-nucleotide ribosomal RNA is filed under the name uncultured bacterium. RNAcentral describes it as "bacterial SSU rRNA". It matches the Rfam family "Bacterial small subunit ribosomal RNA", at positions 94 to 716 of the family's 1533-position model. The record is from RNAcentral.